Molecule: ribosomal RNA, 233 nt
Filed under: uncultured bacterium
Lineage: Bacteria
Description: partial 16S ribosomal RNA
Rfam family: Bacterial small subunit ribosomal RNA
Source: RNAcentral
ACGGGUGAGUAACACGUGGUCAACCUUCCCUAGAUGGGGGAUAACUAGCCGAAAGGUUAGCUAAUACCGCAUACGAUCUUCGAGGGGCAUCCCUUGAAGAUGAAAGGAGCAAUUCGCUCUAGGACGGGACCGCGUCCCAUUAGCUAGUUGGUGGGGUAAUGGCCUACCAAGGCUCCGAUGGGUAGCUGGUUUGAGAGAAUGACCAGCCACACUGGGACUGAGAAACGGCCCAG